RNAcentral lists this unclassified non-coding RNA (336 nucleotides) under soil metagenome. RNAcentral's name for it is "partial contains 5.8S ribosomal RNA, internal transcribed spacer 2, and large subunit ribosomal RNA". The stretch from base 1 to 120 matches the Rfam family "5.8S ribosomal RNA", at positions 35 to 154 of the family's 154-position model. The record is from RNAcentral.
GAUGAAGAACGCAGCGAAAUGCGAUAAGUAAUGUGAAUUGCAGAAUUCAGUGAAUCAUCGAAUCUUUGAACGCACAUUGCGCCCGCCAGUAUUCUGGCGGGCAUGCCUGUUCGAGCGUCAUUUCAACCAUCAAGCCCCCGGCUUGUGUUGGGGACCUGCGGCUGCCGCAGGCCCUGAAAAGCAGUGGCGGGCUCGCUGUCACACCGAGCGUAGUAGCAUACAUCUCGCUCUGGGCGUGCUGCGGGUUCCGGCCGUUAAACCACCUUCAUAACCUAAGGUUGACCUCGGAUCAGGUAGGAAGACCCGCUGAACUUAAGCAUAUCAAUAAGCGGAGGA